CCUACGUGAGGCAGCAGUGGGGAAUAUUGCACAAUGGGGGAAACCCUGAUGCAGCGACGCCGCGUGAGUGAAGACGUAAUUCGUUAUGUAAAGCUCUAUCAGCAGGGAAGAAAAUGACGGUACCUGAGUAAGAAGCCCCGGCUAACUACGUGCCAGCAGCCGCGGUAAUACGUAGGGGGCAAGCGUUAUCCGGAUUUACUGGGUGUAAAGGGAGCGUAGACGGCAGUGCAAGUCUGGAGUGAAAGGCGGGGGCUCAACCCCCGGACUGCUCUGGAAACUGUACGGCUGGAGUGCAGGAGAGGUAAGUGGAAUUCCUAGUGUAGCGGUGAAAUGCGUAGAUAUUAGGAGGAACACCAGUGGCGAAGGCGGCUUACUGGACUGUAACUGACGUUGAGGCUCGAAAGCGUGGGGAGCAAACAGGAUUAGAUACCCCAGUAGUC
This 440-nucleotide ribosomal RNA is filed under the name uncultured bacterium. RNAcentral describes it as "partial 16S ribosomal RNA". It matches the Rfam family "Bacterial small subunit ribosomal RNA", at positions 338 to 795 of the family's 1533-position model. The record is from RNAcentral.